This 414-nucleotide ribosomal RNA is filed under the name uncultured bacterium. Its description in RNAcentral is "bacterial SSU rRNA". It matches the Rfam family "Bacterial small subunit ribosomal RNA", at positions 355 to 786 of the family's 1533-position model. The record is from RNAcentral.
UGGGGGAUAUUGCACAAUGGGGGAAACCCUGAUGCAGCGACGCCGCGUGAGUGAAGAAGUUAUUCGUAAUGUAAAGCUCUAUCAGCAGGGAAGAAAGUGACAGUACCUGACUAAGAAGCCCCGGCUAACUACGUGCCAGCAGCCGCGGUAAUACGUAGGGGGCAAGCGUUAUCCGGAUUUACUGGGUGUAAAGGGAGCGUAGACGGCGAAGCAAGUCUGAAGUGAAAGCCCGCGGCUCAACUGCGGGACUGCUUUGGAAACUGUUUUGCUAGAGUACUGGAGAGGCAAGUGGAAUUCCUAGUGUAGCGGUGAAAUGCGUAGAUAUUAGGAGGAACACCAGUGGCGAAGGCGGCUUGCUGGACAGAGACUGACGUUGAGGCUCGAAAGCGUGGGGAGCAAACAGGAUUAGAUACC